CAAUGGAAUUCCUCGCGCGUGGUUCGACGCGCGCUCUCGUCAGAUGGUUUAUUCACUGUUGAAUUGUCGGGAUUUAAGUUACCGAUCAUAUGGCACUGCAAAUCAGCUGAUGGGAUGGAUUUUAUUAAACAAGGUCAUCACAGUGCAUUAUGGUACUGCCUUCUCCACAAGGACACAUGUGAUGCUGCCUCAGAAGUUGGCCAGAACAAGGUAUCUUAAAAGGAUGAGGGUGUGAUGGUGGACAAUGAGACGAAAGAAAGAAAGAGGUAGACACAGAAAUAUAAUAAUGAAUUUUUCAGUCUUUCGACAAUUUUGCAUAGGUUUAUGCUGUCAGAGAAGUCAAGAUAUUUACUACACUUGACCAUUUCUCUGUUCCAGGUAUCAACGGACAUUAGCAAAGAAAACUUUGCGCAAGAUCGUUUCAAGAGGCUUCAAACUUCAACCCUUGCUCUUUCGGUGACGAUGUCAAUACCAUGACGAUACAGUCACAUCUUUGGUGGCGUUUGGACGUUUUUAGUUUCCUGUAAGAGUUUGAUGUUUAGGUGUGUGUUUAUAUGUGAUUCUUCUGCCUGGUUUGGCCUGCCGCUGCCUGAAGCAGUGUGUGGGAGGGGGAUGAGAGACGACUCGAGAUCUGCCUCGGGCACUAUUUAGUGCAGACUGAAUGGAUGAGUAGACUUCGCCGAACUGAAGCUAACACAGACACACACACACACACACACACACUACUUCACAUGCAUAUUUGUAUGUGCAAAUUAUAAAAUGACUUUCAGGGUGGUCAACAUUUUUAAGGGAACUUCUACAGGUAAUUUUCGAAGAGCAAUCUGUUGUAGUUUGUUUCACGCAACCCAAAUUGUGAUUUGAGGACAUUAGCACAGUUAGCCACAGGUCAGCUGUCUUAAAGGUGAAGAGUUACAUUUUUAUAUAAGAAAACAUGGUCCCACUUUAUACUAGGUGUCUUUAACUACUAUGUACUAACAUUAUAAUAUAUACAAUACAAUGUACUUAUUGUGUAACUACACGUUGUUCUGCAAAAUACUCACAAGGUUCACAUUUGCUGCUAAUGAGGUUGAGGUACGGGCAGGGUUAGGUUUAGGGGUUAGGCUAAGGCUUAGGGGUUAGGGUAAGGUUUGGGUUAGGGGUAAGGUUACCAGUGUAACUACAGAUGUAAUUAAAUGCAUGUACUUUAAAUGUAAGUAAUACAUUUACUAACUUUUGUAAUGCUAUUUAUUUUAAAACAACUGUUUUCUACCACCCCUGGAGUUCGCUAGUUCACUAGUUCGAAUCCCAGGGCGUGCUGAGUGACUCCAGCCAGGUCUCGAAAGCAACCAAAUUGGCCCGGUUGCUAGGGAGGGUAGAGUCACAUGGGGUAACCUCCUCGUGGUCGCUAUAAUGUGGUUUGUUCUCGGUGGGGCGCAUGGUGAAUUGAGCGUGGUUGCUGCGGUGGAUGGCGUGAAGCCUCCAUAUGCGCUAUGUCUCCGUGGCAACGCGCUCAACAAGCCACGUGAUAAGAUGCGUGGGUUGACUGUCUCAGACGCGGAGGCAACUGGGAUUCGUCCUCCGCCACCCGGACUGAGGCGAAUCACUAUGUCACCACGAGGACUUAGAGCGCAUUGGGAAUUGGGCAUUCCAAA
Molecule: long non-coding RNA, 1631 nt
Organism: Myxocyprinus asiaticus (Chinese sucker)
Lineage: Eukaryota; Metazoa; Chordata; Actinopteri; Cypriniformes; Catostomidae
Exons: 3
Source: RefSeq, a predicted model, not a curated record